This 1125-nucleotide long non-coding RNA is filed under the name Sus scrofa (pig). RNAcentral's name for it is "lncRNA (ENSSSCG00005035386.1)". The record is from RNAcentral. Lineage: Eukaryota; Metazoa; Chordata; Mammalia; Artiodactyla; Suidae.
UCUCAAAAGAUUAAACUUAUGUUCCCCAAACCACGACAGCGCCCCUCAGUCUCUCCACAGAUCCCCCAGGGCGCUCGUCUAAAGAGGAGUAUUUGGUGCCCCAAGUUUUCCGCCCGCGCAGCGUGUUGAACUUGAGUAUAGCGUUCGCACAGCCCACACUGUGCCCACGCGCUCACCUCGGCGGGAGCCACGGACUAACUAGGUGCCCCUGUUUUCUCGUUCAGGGGGUGGGGCAGCCUGGCUCCAGGAGACUGAGACACGCCGCAAACGUCGAGCGGGCCCCCCCGCCGUGACCGGCCUCGUCACUUAGAAGGAGAAAGGGCAAAAGGGCUGAUCGGAACACUCUUUUAACACUUAACAAUUUGAGGCAGGAGCCUGUAAGCAGAGGCGAACUGCGAGAAUUCGCUGCUGUUUAAAGAGCAGGGCAAAGUUGCCAAGAAACUCACUACAACGUGGCUGUUUACUCCCGGCGAAUGGGCCCCAAAGAAAAUAUGACCGGACCAGGUGUCCCGGCGCGAUCCGCAAAGCCGCUCCUGGCGACUCUCUUCUCAGGCGAGUCCGAACCGGGCGGGAGGAGCGGGCAGACUAUCAGAAAAGUUAUUUCGAGAUUCAGCCAAAUGUUCUGACUGGGGGACCGAAAACGGGACGAGGCGUUUCCUGCGGUAACGCUCUGGCCCGCAGCGGGGCCCAGCGCCGAGCGCGCCGCAGUCGCGCGCUCCCCGCCCAGGGCUGUUCGGAAAGGACGCUCCCCUCCUCCCUGUAAGAAGCGAGCCCGAGGUCGGCCAGCCGGGGCUGCCCGGGUUCUACGCGGGGCCUGAACUUCAGCCUUCCUCUGGAGGAACGCGCCUCUAGUUUUGCUCUGGAAGGAGAAAUGGGUGCAGUUCUUCCAGAGCUCUCAAGAUUCCAGUCGCCGGACAACCCUGGAAACUCUGGGAAGUUCUAAACUGAGUUUCCCUUGUUCCCUGAGUCCCUUUCCAUCUUCCCUACCAGGCAGGGGCUAAAGGGCUGCUGACCGAGACGGUGCCUUUUCAGAUGAGUUUUUCCUCGUGGACUGGAGAAGCGCCGCCGCCCGCUCCGAAGGCGACUUGCCGACCUCAGCGCCCUGGGCUCGCGCGGCGCACCGCC